CUAGCCACCUUCCUGGCUGUGGGCAGGAAACCGGAAGGGGUUCCUGAGCCCGCGAACCUGAAGCGGAAAUGGAAGUGUAACGUUUUUGAGGGAGACAGCUACCUCACUUAACAAGUCUCUGUAGUCUCAGAUGUGUGGCUCUUCCUCAAGUGUCUGGAGCUGAGAUGCGACCCAGGAAGGGAACUGUGGCUAGCUAAGGAGUCAAAGCUUGAUGUUACUUCCAGAUCUCAUGUCAACACUGAGCCCUCAAUUACUGGUGGCAGUUGCUCAGCAGACCCUGGGCAUGGGAAAGAAAAAGGGUCCACCUCGAGCCAUCUGCCUUCACCUGGCUGGAGAAGUGCUGGCUGUGUCCCGGGGGCUGAAACCUGCUGUGCUGUAUGAUUGCAACAGUGCAGGAGCUUUGGCACUCCAGAAUUAUCUGAAGGAGCUGCAAGGGCUAGGCUUUCUGACUCUGGGACUUCACAUUCUUGAAAUUGGAGAAAAUAACCUCAUUGUCAGCCCUGCACAUGUAUGUCAACACUUGGAACAGGUAUUGCUUGGUACCAUAGCCUUUGUGGAUGUUUCCGGCUCCCAACCUCACCCUUCUAUCUGUUCCCUGGACCAGCUUAAGGAUUUGAAGGACGUCGUGACAGAGAUCAUCACACAUUUGAAGGGGCUGCAGAGGGAUCUAUCCUUAGGAGUCUCCCACAGCAUGCUCCAUUCCUCAGACUGGAAUCUUUGUACUCUAUUUGGGAUCCUCCUGGGCUAUCCUGUCUCUUAUACCUUUCACCUGAACCAAGGAGAUGACAACUGCUUAGCCUUGACCCCACUACGGGUGUUCAGUGCUCGGAUCUCAUGGCUGCUAGGUCAAACCUCAGUCCUGCUCUAUUCCUUUAGUGUCCCAGAAAUCUUGUUCCCAGCCCUGAGGGACACUCUAAAUGUCUGGGAGAAGAACCUCAGAGCCCAAUUUAGGACUCAGAAUGACUUUGCUGACCUCAGCAUCUCCUCUGAGAUAGUCACACUGCCGGCUGUGGCCCUCUGACUUUAAUUUUUGUCCUCCUAUGUGGAAGGCAUUCAGUAAGUGCUCAUCUCUGGGUUAGGGGUGUCGAAUAGUGAUCAUUUAAAGUGCUGGUUUUAAGUGCCUGGGGACCCUAGAGAAGAAUGCUGUAUUCAGCUGGCCACAUCAUGAAUGGGAAUAGGUAGUGGUGGUGGUGAUGCUAGCAUUAGUAAUACAUAUUGGCCAUUUCUAUACUAGGAGGUCUUCUUUACUUAACAGAUGUGUCUGUUCAUUUUUCACUGGAUAAGAGUUAGAAGGAAAGAGACAGAAGGGGAAAAGAAGGGUUGUAGAGAACAAGCAGUAUACCUGUGUGUGGUAUCCUACCCUGUGUAGAUAGUGUCUUUAGAAAAGGAAGACUGAGUCCUUUCUGUAUGUUUCUGUACCUCCAACUGAAUUGGUCUAAGGGGAGUAGACCAGGAUGCUUAAGUGCCACACUUGUAAUAUGUUAUUUAGGAAUAAACUGAAGAUUCCAGGGAACAGUCUGGUGAGGUAAAGUUUAUUUAUUUAGGCUAAAAAAAUUGAAGUCAGAAAUCCCAAUUCAGUUGGAGGGUAAACCCAAGCUGUAAAGUACCCAAACCUUCUGUGUUUUUCAUUGAGUUGUUUGCUGCUGAUUUUUACUCCAGGCAGCUGUCACAAGUUAUUCAGAUUCUCAGGUUAUCUUUGUUGGCCAGGAAUACUGCCAGUGCUAUAGCAAUCACCACCGUCAGGAUGGGGAGCCACUGACCACAUUGCUUCUGUGUGGAGGGAAGGGAGACAGAAGAAAGCAGCCAUAAGUCACUUAGAGAAAAUAUGGGCAAAAGCACUCCUUCCUAUUCUAGCCUAAGGGAAGACCUUGGGUUGGUGCUAGAAAAAGCUUUUUACUUCACUGUUUCACUUUCUGUCACCUCUCUUGGGAUAAAACCACUUUACUAGUGGUCCCUGGCCCAGGGAUCAUGUCCAGUAGAGGCCAAACAUUUAAAUGCUGAUGUGAAAAAUUCAGGGUGGAAAAUAAUUCAGCAAAAUAAUAUUAUUCUCUUUAUAUGCCUUAGUACCUUUGUUGUCCUUCCCUGUCCUUGUCAUCAUGCUGGCAAUAGACUAAAAGAACAUCCUUUCAUACUUGAGUUAAUCCAGCUUGAGAAUCCCUUGCCUGAAAUACUUAGGACCAGAAGUGUUUCAAAUUUUGGAGGUUCAGAUUUAGUAAUAUUUGCCUAGACUUUACCAGUUGAGCAGAUCUCAUGAAAAAAAAAUCUGAAACACCAAAUACUCUAAAAUCUGAAACUUUUUGAACAUCAUGUCAAUGCUCAAAAAGUUUUGUAUUCAGAGAAUUUCUAUUUUUGAACAUUCAGCUUAAAAAUGCUCAGCCUAUAGCAAAUCUUUCCCUCAGGCCUUAAGAGUUCCACAGAAAUUGGACCUGGAUGCAUGAAUCAGUGUUUCAUGACUGCUGUACUUUCAGCAUGGACUAAAUCAAGCAGAAUAGGCAGAGUAUUCAGAGCAUUUCUGAUUUUGAACAUUCAGCUUAAGGAUGCUCAGCCUAUAGCAAAUCUUCCCCUCAGCCCUCAAGAAUUCCAUGGAAUUGGACUUAUGUACAUGAGUCAGUACAUAAGUACAUGUUUCAUGACUGCUAUACUUUCAGCAUGGACAAAAUCAAGCAGAAUAGACAGGAUGACUAGAUAUUGACAUGGGCUGGCAAAUUUUAUCUGUAAGACUUGGCUAAAAAGAAAUCAUCCCACCACCAUUUGUACAGGAGGAUGGACCCUCUUACUCUGGGAGGUGGCUGCUGGCUGUGGUUCAGCUCUUCUCGACAGUGCUGCAGCUUACGCAUGCAGGAGAGGUACUCGUCACUGAGGUUGUCUAACUCCGAAUGCAGUUCUCUGCACUGGGGAGAAUAUCAUCGGAGUCAUCAUCAUCAAUUCUAUCUUGAGACAGAACCCAGGAAGGGGAGACUGUCCUGAGUAAGGUGGAGACACUAGUGAUUUGGUUGGAGCUGAGCACAGAGUCAACUCAGGUGAUCUGAGAGGCAGUGGUGAGAAUCGAACCUUGUGCCUCACACAUGCCAGGUUCCUCCUCCUGAAGAACUGCAGUUGUCGAGCUCUCUGGAGCUGCUCUCUGUGCUGGGUCCUUAGUGCCUUCCCCACCUGGCGGCAAGUAGUCACGUUGGGGCGACAGCGGCGACUUUCACGGGUCUCCUGCCGGCGCUCACACUUGGCCUCAUAGCUCUCAGCCCACCGGGCCAAGGCAGGGGAGGGCCUGGGGUCUGGGCUGAUCAUGAUGACCUCUGAAGCACCUGUUGUGCUUGGCUUCCAGUUCCUUGAAUAGCUGCCUGGAUCUGCCAAAUGCCAAGAGGGAGGAGCCAGAAGAUGGGCAGAAAAAUGACUAUCUUCCCAAAUCAGGGGGCAGAAAUAGCACAGGGCUCUAUCCUGUGGGUUGAAAACUGAGGAUGAAGUGGUUUCCAAACACUGGGAGUCAGGACUCCUGUGCUUAAUCCUUAAGGAACUCAUAAAAAUCUAACAAAAGCAAUUUCCUGCUCCUAGCCUAUGUCCCACCUCUGUAAAGUGCACUGCCCCCUUCUUCCUCGACUAAACAUCUCACUAUUCUCUAAGUCAGAGGAACUUUAUAAACAAUUGAUAAAAAUAAUAAUAAAUUGAUAGCCUCUUGAAUAGCAGGUGUGUUUAUUUUCUAGACUUUUAGAGAAAUUAAUUUCCCCUUCUUUCCUACUAAACUAAAAGGAAAGUGGGCCUCUUGGCCUAAGUUGUUACUAAAAUAGAAUGAUACUUCUCCUGACCUGGAGGGAUAAAAAUGCCCCCUCAGGAAGUGAUCAGGCCUGGGACUGACACCCACUGCUCCCAUCUUAGCCCUUAGCAACCAACUUGUGGGCCCAGACCUUGUGUGUUUUAGGAGGGAAGCCUACCCGAACUCCUCCAUCAUGCCAUCCUGAUGUUGUUCCACUGACGUCUACUACCCCAUGGCCGGGUCUGGGCCCUGACUCUCAGGUGCAGAUCAAGUCAAAUCAGUAUUGGCUGAGCAUCUCCACAUGCCCACUAUCGACCCACUUCAGAGCAUCUGAAUUAACAUCUCUUGGAGAUGAGAGUUACCACACUUUUUAGGGUCACCUCCCUUUCAGGGUUGUCUGUUGUCAAGUUUGCUUUCCUAAGCCCGGAUGCAGGUUGUGCCUUCUAAACCAGUAAGCACAUGGAUUAUACCUCAUAAAGCUCCUCUAAACAACAGAGAAAUAAAACAAACAUGCAAAAGCAGUAACCCAAAGUCCCCAGGGAACAAGAGGCCACCUUUGAUAUCCCUCCACAUGGCCUUGCCUGCUGUCCACAUAGUACCCAAACCCUAAUCCCCUCUUCCUUCCUGUGCCUCUCUAUCCUACUCUCCUCUACCUACCUUCUGUAAAUUUGUUUAUUCUCCUAGGAAUCGCUGGUAGCUUUGUUGAGUUGGGAGUGGAAUUGGAUGAGCUGGUUUCUGAGCAUCAAAAAUUCUGUGCCCUGCCCCCUCUGCUCCCUGGAGUCAGACCAGGCACUGAUGAAGGAAGAGGUACUCCCCCUCACAGCUGCUGCCUCUUCUCUCCGACUCAUGACUUCAUUACCCACGGCCCUGGGAACAUAGUUCCUGGGUGGGUCAGAGGAGAGGAUCUCAGCUUCAACAGCCAGUAGGCAUUUGCCAGCUUUGGCCCUUUGGGUUUAUUUAUAAGCCAAACAGACUCAACAGGUAGCAGCUUCUCUGCUCCUUUGUUGGGACUUCACUGCCCAUCCCGGCUCAGUCUGGAGUUCUGCAGGUUUUGUUUCUCUUUCUCUGAUCACAGCACUCAUUCCCAGGGGACAUGGGUGGAGCAUUAUCACUCUCUGGAGGGGUAUUAUGUAGCCAUGCCUUGGGUACUCUCAAAUGCCUGACUUGAGGGCUGGAGGGGCACACUCUGGCCUUGGGCACUGCUGACCCUAAGAAGAAUUGUGAGGUUGUCAAUAUUUAUCCCCUACAUAUCAUCUUUGAAUGGCUUUUUUCCUCCCUCCUACCCCGUGGAUGUCCCUAGACAUCCCACCUGUUACUCUGUUUAUUUAAAAACUUAGUAAAGGGAGCUGGGGUUGUAGCUCAGUGGUAGAAUGCUUGCCUAGCAUGUAUGAGGUACUGAGUUUGAUCCUCAGCACCACAUAAAAAUUAAAAAAAUAAAAUAAAGGUAUUGUGUCUGUCUACAACUAAACAAAAAACAAAAAAAAAAAAUAAAAAUUAAAAAACCAAAGGAUCAGAGAGGCCCAUUUCAUGUUAAGUUAUAAAUGGCACGGUGGAAGAGAUUUGGAAUUAUGUGUACACAAAUUCUAUGUCCUGAAUGUACACUUGUGGCAUCCCAAAGUCAUAGCCCCUGGUUAUUCUGCCAUCCAUGGUGGAGGAGACUUUUGCUCUGUGGUGUGACUCUGUGGACUCAUGUCCUAGCUCCAUUAGUGUCUACCUCUGUGUAUUUUUAGACAAGGUAUUAAAUGUCCCUAAGCCUCAGUCUCCUUAUUUAUUAAAUGGGGUUAAAACCUAUCUGGAAAGAUUAUAAGAAUUAAAUGGCAAAAUGUACACCAUGUACCUGGUAUAUGGCAUACAAUAAAUGAUAGGUUUCUAUAUUAAUAAACAUAGUUAUUAUUAUCCUUAUGUUGGUGUUGGAUACUGAAGAUUUGGUGCUGUAAGAGAGAGGUCCCAGGCUAAAGUACUCCCAGGGCUAAGAAUGCUUGACCUCUUUCUCUAAUUCCCCCAACCCUUUCUCUCACUGACGAAGCAUAUUGUUUUCCAGAUGGAGGGGGUAUGGCCCCAGCUUAAAAUCACCUUUAUUUCUCUAAUCUUUGUUUGGGGUUGGGCUACAAGGAAAAAGGACUUCUCUGUGGUCCCAACAUAACCACCAUCUCAAUUAGGCCAAGCAGAAUGGCAAAGAAGAAAUGGGGGUGAGGAACUGGUAUCCAGCUUACCUGCACUGCACUAUUAAAAUGUGGGGUGUGAGGUCCUUCUCUAUUUGGCCUCAAGUUACCUUCAGCUUUGCCGUGGAGAUAAUUUCUCCAGUGUUGAAAAUUCCCCUACCUUUCGCCUAUUAAGAGGAAAAGGCUGUUGGGGAGAAGAUGGGCCUGAGAUGAGGUCUCUCUGGAUGCUUCACCUAGGCCAUCUAUAGGUCCACGGAACCAUGACUGCUCCAUUCUGCAACCUCAAGGCCAGAUAUUGGGAUUUAUUACUCAAGAGGGGAAUUGAGAUAGGAAUGGCCCCUUAGAGAAAGGAGGAUCCCUAUAUCCCUAGGCCCCCACAUCUGGUAGAAUUUGGAGUGACUUGGUGAGUGGAGAUAUAUCUGACCAUACUGAUUUUCUUAAGAAGAAACCAUGUGGGAUGGCUGAUGAAUUGGAAUAGGCUAUAGACACAAAAGGAACUGAUCCUUAAAGAGUUCAGAGAAAGGUUAUAAGGCCACUGCUCAGGCUUUCUGGCAGCCUAACAAGGCCCAGUUGUAGUUAGGAGGAAGAGGUGGUACUGGCUGGGGGAGGUUUUCCUCACUGCAAUAGGGAGAAACCAGGGUGCUGCUCUGUACUUUAUUGUGGCUUGUCAUUGCCUUUCCAAGUUCCUGCUCUUCUUCCUGGCCAUGUGUACAAUAGAGACAAUGGAUAGCUACCUGCAUGGGUCUGGCCUUCCUCAUCCAGAGCUCUCAAUAUGAGCUGAGGGAGAGGGUCCUGUCCCCAAGUUACUGGAAAACUAGCUUCACGUGAAAGGACCCCUGCUUUGAAGGGAACUAUAAAAGGUCAGUUAAUUCAUGCUGCCGUCACAGUAACCUAAACUCCAAACCAUGUGUGACCUACUUCUAAUCUAAUGGAUGGAGCAAGGGAGUCAUGGGAGCUGUAUCCCUGUGCCUGGCCGGGGCCUCAGGAAUCCCAUGCAAGAUGCUUUCUUGGUUACCUCAACCCUCAAUACUCUUAAACUACACCACCCACUCCUAUGUUUCCCUCCCUUCUAUUUUUCCAAACAAGCUUGGAUGGUGGAGUGCCUUCUGCCCCAACCCAAAGUCAAAGGUCCCAAACCUGACCCCAAAACACCCUUUUUUGCAGUUACCUCUGGGUCCCAGGCUCCAGGCUAAGCAGCUCAGGAAAACAUUCCAGUUCUUGGACAGAUCUUGGUUCAGGUCUCAGGUGGAGCACGGCAGUGACUGGGUAAAGUGCAGGUUGUCAAUCCAUGUUUCUGGGCUCCCUUAGCAUUUCCCUUCUUGGUACUGUCUUUCUUUUUGCACAGCAGCCUCACUGAAACAGGAAACAGACAAAGCCACAAUGCUCGCAAACCCCAGUUCCUCUGCUCUCCGUGCAAUCUGAGUGGGCCCCUGAGCCCUGGGGCCUCCAGGGCUGGGCUGAGGAGCUCCUCCCAUCAGAGAGCACCCCAGCUACCCUUUCUCCUGCUACCCUUUCUCCAGCUACCAGAUUGGCCUGAGCUCUUGGACAGUUUCAAGUCAAGAUCUGUUUCCAGGAUUAGACAAGGAUGCUCCUCUGGGUCCCAUGCCAACUUUUCAGUUUCUUUCUUUUUUUAAAAAUAUUUAUUUAUUUUUUAGAUGUAGUUGGACACAAUACCUUUAUUUUAUUUAUUCAUUUUUAUGUGGGGCUGAAGAUCAAACCCAGGGCUUUGCACAUGCUAGGCAAGCGCUCUACCGCUGAGCCUUUACUGCUGAGCCACAACCUCAGCCCCAACUUUGCAGUUUCUAUGAGUGGAAAAUGCCUUUUUUGUAGUAAGACCUAGAUGAGAUGUUCUCAGCAUAGGUUUUCAUGUGUAUUGGGUAGUUCUAUGUGUAAGGUUUUUCCCUUUCCCAGGUUGGAAUGGGAAGAGAUUUCAUUUUUCUGAAGACCUGGUGUCUUUUGCAGAAAUCUAGACCAAGGCCAGCUCUGGAUUUGCUCCUUCUUAAGCAAUGAAAAGGGGGUGAAAAGGAAGGUGGCUGAAGAUGAAGAGAGGAGUAGCAGGCAGAAUCAGGUCAAGAAAAUUUCCCAGUCAAUUAAACUAGGAAAUUUGGGGGAAAAUAAAAGGAAUCUGUAUGCAUUAAAAAAGAAACUAUUACAAAUGAUCUAGUUAGGGAAUUCCCAAGAAGUUCAGGAUAAAAUAAUGGAGAGGGCACUGGAUUUAGCCAAGCUCACUGAACCGAUUUGUAAACUCGUGUAAUUCACCUUGUCUAAAUGAGAGACUCACUACAGUGAUUGGAUGAUUUAUGUGACACCUCUGAGGCAGGUAAUGAACUGUGAUAUCAUUUAUUGCCAAAUAUGGUGGUACACACUUGUAAUCCCAGCAACUCAGGAGGCUGAGGCAGGAGGAUUGCAUGUUUGAGGCCAGCCUCAAAGACUUAGUAAGAUCCUGUCUCAAAGCAAAAAGGGAUGGGGAUGUAGCUCAGUGGUAGAGUGCUUACCUUCCAUGUGGGAGGCCCUGGGUUCAACACCUAGUGCCACAAGCAGACAAAGAUAACAUUUGUUAAUCUGAGGAAUUUAUUAGGAUCCUCUAUACUGCUUCUACUUCCUCGAUUCUCUGAAGAGAAAAAAAAAAAAACAGGAAUAGGCAGUUGAAAAGAACAGGA
Molecule: RNA transcript, 8567 nt
Organism: Ictidomys tridecemlineatus (thirteen-lined ground squirrel)
Lineage: Eukaryota; Metazoa; Chordata; Mammalia; Rodentia; Sciuridae
Gene: C10H1orf74
Gene name: chromosome 10 C1orf74 homolog
Source: RefSeq, a predicted model, not a curated record